AUUGAACGCUGGCGGCAUGCCUUACACAUGCAAGUCGAACGGCAGCACGGGUGCUUGCACCUGGUGGCGAGUGGCGAACGGGUGAGUAAUACAUCGGAACAUGUCCUGUCGUGGGGGAUAGCCCGGCGAAAGCCGGAUUAAUACCGCAUACGAUCUACGGAUGAGAGCGGGGGACCUUCGGGCCUCGCGCUAUCGGGUUGGCCGAUGGCUGAUUAGCUAGUUGGUGGGGUAAAGGCCUACCAAGGCGACGAUCAGUAGCUGGUCUGAGAGGACGACCAGCCACACUGGAACUGAGACACGGCCCAGACUCCUACGGGAGGCAGCAGUGGGGAAUUUUGGACAAUGGGCGAAAGCCUGACCCAGCAAUGCCGCGUGUGUGAAGAAGGCCUUCGGGUUGUAAAGCACUUUUGUCCGGAAAGAAAUCCUUGGCCCUAAUACGGUCGGGGGAUGACGGUACCGGAAGAAUAAGCACCGGCUAACUACGUG
Molecule: ribosomal RNA, 486 nt
Filed under: uncultured bacterium
Lineage: Bacteria
Description: partial 16S ribosomal RNA
Rfam family: Bacterial small subunit ribosomal RNA
Source: RNAcentral